AUACGAAGGGUGCAAGCGUUAAUCGGAAUUACUGGGCGUAAAGCGUGCGUAGGCGGUUUGUUAAGUCAGAUGUGAAAGCCCCGGGCUCAACCUGGGAACUGCAUUUGAUACUGGCAAGCUAGAGUGUGGUAGAGGGUGGUGGAAUUCCCGGUGUAGCGGUGAAAUGCGUAGAGAUCGGGAGGAACAUCCGUGGCGAAGGCGGCCACCUGGACCAACACUGACGCUGAGGCACGAAAGCGUGGGGAGC
This 247-nucleotide ribosomal RNA is filed under the name uncultured bacterium. RNAcentral describes it as "partial 16S ribosomal RNA". It matches the Rfam family "Bacterial small subunit ribosomal RNA", at positions 523 to 769 of the family's 1533-position model. The record is from RNAcentral.